GACGAACGCUGGCGGCGUGCCUAACACAUGCAAGUCGAACGGAAAGGCCCUGCUUUUGUGCGGUUCUCGAGUGGCGAACGCGUGAGUAACACGUGAGUAACCUGCCCUUGACUUUGGGAUAACUUCACGAAACUGGGGCUAAUACCGGAUAGGAGCUCCUGCUGCAUUGUGGGGGUUGGAAAGUUUCGGCGGUAGGAGCUGGACUCGCGGCUUACCACCUUGUUGGUUGGGUAGUGGCUUACCAAGCCUUUGAAGGCUAGCCGGCCUGGGAGGGGGGACGGCGACAAUGGGCCUACGGGACGGACCAGACGCGAACAGGAGGCAGUGGUGGGAAAUAUGACACAGUGGGAGGGAGUGUGAUGAGGAGGCGCCGGGUGCGGGAUGACGGCCUUUGGGGUAAGAACAGCUGUCGCCUGUGACGAAGCGUGAGUGACGGUAAUGAAUAAAGAAGCACCGGCUAACUACGUG
Molecule: ribosomal RNA, 468 nt
Filed under: uncultured bacterium
Lineage: Bacteria
Description: partial 16S ribosomal RNA
Rfam family: Bacterial small subunit ribosomal RNA
Source: RNAcentral